ACCACCACUUCCUCUCGGCGCAUGUUUCGUGCAGUCGGCAGAGCAGCAAGCCCUGAUCUCUUGUGACAGCUGCUCCCGAGGCUGCCUGUGCCGAGGAUCAUCAUCCGACUGGGCUGGGAGGAAGGCGAUCUUUAAGAGCUCCAUAGUUGUCACUGGGCAAUGGUGCUGGAAUGUGCGCAUGAAGCCAAGGUCAGGAAUCUGCUGGAAUCAGCCUAAAUAACUGGAUAAAGCACUAAGGAGAGUGAUUGAACGGGGAAUAAGGAAAGGAAACGCUUCUCUACUUUUCCUCUUUUGUGUCAUGAUCUUCCGUCUCAGGCAUUUAACCCCAGGGUACUUCCGCCUGCUGCAGAUGCAAUUGGCUAGUGGAUCGAAAUCAAAAUCUCAAGACCGGCUGUUGAAUCAUCUGGCGCUGCUGUUGGCCAUUAUGGGAUUAAGCCUGUCUUACUACAGUGCCCGGCAAAUGAGUGAAGAGGUUAAACCACCGGCGGAGCCGUGAUGUUUGGCUUUCAAGGAGUAAUCAGGAGCAACGGUGGUGGUGGCAGAAAGAUGAGAGGUCAAGGUGGGACUCCUGAAAUUCACUGUGUGGAUCAGGAGAUGUCCAUUAGGUAUACUCAGCAUGCACUUGUUUGGAUAGCUUGCAGCAGGGUUCCCGUGGUCCUUUCUUAUUCCAUGGCAGGUCACAGGCUUCCCCUUCCAGCAGCAUCCUCACUCUCUUCUCCCAGAUCCGCACUGAAAGGUUACAUCUAUCCAUUUCUCUGACAUGUUUCAUUAAAGUACAGUGGGGAUAACUGGGCGCAGGGUUUCACACCUCCUCCUUGGCCUUUUUCUGGUCUAGACUAAAGGCCAGUAUGGCUGCAGAGGAAGAGAGUAGGGGAAUUGACUUCAGUUUGUCUUGCCACUUUGCGCUGGGCAGGUAAGAAUCCCUUCUGGGUGACCAGGUAAUUUUGUACGUUGCAAGCAUGCAGCUAUUUGUUUUGGGGUAUUUUUGGUCAAUGUAGAAGAAAUACCCAGCAGCAAAAAGGGCAAGAAAAGGAAGGCAAACUGGUUAUCUUUUGCAAAUUAGUUCAACCUGACUAGUAUCCAUCUGCCCAAAGCUCAAAAAAUGAAAAUGCUCUAAAGUAUUUCUGCAUGACAAGCAGGAACAUGGAAUGGAUUUUUGAUAGGGCACUUUAGCAGCAUUCCAGUGAGAUCUGGAUAAGGCCCAACAGGAAAAACAAAAAUGAUGACUCAGCCAGCAUGAAAUGAACUAGUUGUUCCGUCUGUUGAGGCUCAUGGGCCUUCACGGCAUCUAAGCAGUAGCGAUUAAGCAGAAUCUCUUGUAGGUCACUGCCCUAGAGAAGGGUUCUGGAUGGGCAUGCCCACCUCUUUCCCGUCCAUUUUUUGACAAGAUAUGGGCAGUGACCGGAAGAUGCGGCGAGAGAAGACUGCUGGAAUGUGCUGCUGUCGAUGGUAAUUGGUUUCAUUACAGGCGGCUGAGUCUAUUCACCACCAACUCCCUCCUGCUCAGCGAAAAGCAGCAGACGAUGGUAGGCUGGAAGGAGGUUGCCGACUGCCUGUUAUAUAACAGCACAUGUGGCAAGACAGCUGUGACCUAAAUCAUUGCUUUUAAGCUUGCGAUUAGAAAGGCUGGGAGGAUUCUUUUUUAAGGAUGCUGGUGUUCUUCCAUUUUAAAAACUGGUCAGUGGUUGGGAAGAUUGUGAGGGUGGCAUGAUCCUCUUAAAGGGGGGGGGGCAAGCAAGUUAAUUAUACCCUCUUUAAGGGGCUUUCAGUCAAUUUAGUCAAGACUUCAAAGUAAAUUCGGCUCCAAAACCUCAGCAGAUGAGGCUCCUGCGAAGCAAAAAGACUAGGUAAGGAAGACCCUAGUCGGAAAAAUCCAUCCACCCUACCCCAACUCAUGCCAGUAAUGCAGGGGUGAACUGUGUUGCGCUGCGUGCAAUAAAUCUGAUUUUAAAAUCUU
Long non-coding RNA from Sphaerodactylus townsendi, 1957 nucleotides. RefSeq lists it as uncharacterized. The transcript is spliced from 3 exons. Lineage: Eukaryota; Metazoa; Chordata; Lepidosauria; Squamata; Sphaerodactylidae. The record is from RefSeq and is a predicted model, not a curated record.